UACGUAGGUGGCAAGCGUUGUCCGGAUUUACUGGGCGUAAAGAGCGCGCAGGCGGCUGGUCAAGUCCGAUGUGAAAUCUCCCGGCUUAACUGGGAAACUGCAUCGGAAACUGAUCGGCUUGAAGGUGGGAGAGGGUAGUGGAAUUCCCGGUGUAGUGGUGAAAUGCGUAGAUAUCGGGAGGAACACCAGUGGCGAAGGCGACUACCUGGCCUGUUCUUGACGCUGAGGCGCGAAAGCUAGGGUAGCAAACGGG
Molecule: ribosomal RNA, 253 nt
Filed under: uncultured bacterium
Lineage: Bacteria
Description: partial 16S ribosomal RNA
Rfam family: Bacterial small subunit ribosomal RNA
Source: RNAcentral